This 253-nucleotide ribosomal RNA is filed under the name uncultured bacterium. RNAcentral describes it as "partial 16S ribosomal RNA". It matches the Rfam family "Bacterial small subunit ribosomal RNA", at positions 524 to 776 of the family's 1533-position model. The record is from RNAcentral.
UACGUAGGGGGCUAGCGUUGUCCGGAUUUAUUGGGCGUAAAGAGCGUGUAGGCGGCCAGAUAGGUCUGCUGUGAAAACUCGAGGCUCAACCUCGAGAUGUCGGCGGAAACCAUUUGGCUAGAGUCCGGAAGAGGAAAGUGGAAUUCCUGGUGUAGCGGUGAAGUGCGCAGAUAUCAGGAAGAACACCCGUGGCGAAGGCGGCUUUCUGGGACGGUACUGACGCUGAGACGCGAAAGCGUGGGGAGCGAACAGG